GUGGCGCUAAAUCAUGAUUAGUACUCUUAUACAUUUUAUAAGAGGCUGCAUGUUCCCAUUGGACCCAGAUAUUAUCCAAUAAAAUUGAGAAACUUUAACUAACAGACAUAUAUGAAGAAAUCGAUGCAAACGUUUUGUGUUGGAUUACUUAUAAAAUAAUGAAAUAUAUUUUAGUAACUGGUGGUGUAAUUAGUGGAGUCGGCAAAGGUGUUAUUGCGAGUUCAUUUGGAACUAUACUUAAACAUUGCGGUAUUCAUGUGACAUCUAUUAAGAUAGAUCCUUAUAUAAAUAUUGAUGCCGGUACUUUUUCUCCUUAUGAGCAUGGAGAAGUAUAUGUAUUAGAUGACGGUGGAGAAGUAGAUCUUGAUUUAGGAAAUUAUGAACGUUUUUUAGAUAUUACUUUACACAGAGACAAUAAUAUCACAACAGGAAAAAUUUAUCAACAUGUAAUAUCAAAGGAAAGACAUGGUGAUUAUUUGGGAAAAACUGUUCAAGGUAUAUUAAUACCUCACAUAACAGAUGCUAUUCAAGAAUGGGUUGAAAGAGUUGCAAAGCAAUCAGUAACAAAAGAUGGUGAUAAACCAGAUGUUUGCAUUGUUGAAUUAGGUGGAACUAUAGGAGAUAUUGAAGGAAUGCCAUUUGUAGAAGCUUUUAGACAAUUUCAAUUUAGAGUAAAAAAAGAAAAUUUUUGCUGUGCACAUGUAUCUUUAGUGCCUCAACCAAGAUCUACAGGAGAACCAAAAACAAAACCAACUCAAUCCAGUGUAAGAGAACUACGUGGAUUAGGUUUGUCUCCUGAUCUCAUAGUUUGCAGAUCUGAACAACCAAUAGGCGAUUCUGUAAAAGAAAAAAUUUCGAAUUUUUGUCAUGUUGCUCCAGAACAAGUUAUAACUAUACAUGAUUUGUCAUCUAUAUAUCGUGUUCCUUUAUUGAUGGAAUCUCAAGGUGUAAUUGAAUUUUUAAAUGAUAGGCUACAAUUAAAUAUCGGAAUGCCACGCCCUCGAUAUUUUAUGCGAAAAUGGAGAGAUUUAGCAGAUCGUAUUGAUCAUUUACGAAAAGAAGUAAAUAUUGCAUUAGUAGGAAAAUAUACAAAAUUAGAAGAUUCUUAUGCAUCAGUUACAAAGGCAUUACAACAUGCUUGUAUCCAAGUUGGUUAUAAACUUAAAUUAACAUAUAUAGAAGCUGAUAAUUUAGAACAAAGUACAAAAACAGUAGAUCCUGUAUUAUAUCAUGAAGCUUGGCAACAACUUUGUAAAAGCAAUGGUGUUGUUGUACCAGGUGGUUUUGGUAAAAGAGGUAUGCAAGGAAAAAUGGAAGCAUGUAAAUGGUGUAGAACAAAUGAUAAACCAUUUCUCGGUAUUUGUUUGGGAUUACAAGUAGCAGUAGUUGAAUUCGCAAGGAAUGUUUUAAAUAUAGAAUCUGCAAAUAGCAUGGAAAUUGAUCCAGAAACAGAUCAUCCUCUUGUUAUAGAUAUGCCUGAAUAUAAUCCAAAACAAAUGGGUGGAACUAUGAGACUUGGAAAAAGAUAUACUCGGUUUACAGAAAAUAAUUCUGUCAUAAAACAAUUGUAUGGUAAUAAGGAUUGCAUAGAAGAAAGACAUAGACAUCGUUAUGAAAUCAAUCCAAAUUAUAUUAAUGAUUUAGAAGAAGCUGGAUUGAAGUUCGUCAUGAUGAAGAAAAUUUACGUAUGGAAAUAGCAGAAUUAGAAGGACAUAGUUAUUAUGUUGCGACACAAUUCCAUCCAGAAUAUUUGUCUAGACCACUGAAACCUUCACCGCCAUUUUUAGGACUAAUUUUAGCUAGUGUCGGUAAAUUAAAGCAAUACUUAGUUAAAGGUUGUAAACUUUCACCUCAAGCAAUCAGUGAUAAUGAAUCAGAUAACGAAUGUCUUGUUGAUUCAAUAGCAAAGCAACAAACAAUAAGCGAAACUAGUAUGAGUGGUAGUACUACAUCUUACAAUGAUUUGAUUGAAUAGAUAUAUUAAUCAUAAAAAUAAUUUUAAUUAUGAUCUUUAUAAUAAUAUUAUAAAGAUUUAGAAUACAUGUUAACAGAUUUAUGAUAAUAUGCUAUAUAUUUAAACUAUAUAGUUUUAUUAUUAGAUAUGUAUAUAUUACGUAUAUAAUAUAUCAAAAAAUGUCUAUGUUAUAUAGUUUUAUACCGAAUAAACUAAAAAAAUUUAAAUAUUAGCACAUUUCU
This 2196-nucleotide unclassified non-coding RNA is filed under the name Apis dorsata (giant honeybee). RNAcentral's name for it is "cTP synthase, transcript variant X1". The record is from RNAcentral. Lineage: Eukaryota; Metazoa; Arthropoda; Insecta; Hymenoptera; Apidae.